GAUGAACGCUGGCGGCGUGCCUAAUACAUGCAAGUCGAGCGAACAGAUGAGGAGCUUGCUCCUCUGUCGUUAGCGGCGGCCGGGUGAGUAACAAGUGGCUAACCUACCUAUACGACUGGGAUAACUUCGAGAAACCGGCGCUAAUACCGGAUAAUACAUUGAACCGCAUGGUUCAAUAAUGAAAGCCGGUUCUGCUGUCACUUAUAGUUGGACCAGCGCCGCAUUAGCUAGUUGGUAAGGUAACGGCUUACCAACGCAACGAUGCGUAGCCGACCUGAGAGGGUGAUCGGCCACACUGGAACUGAGACACGGUCCAGACUCCUACGGGAGGCAGCAGUAGGGAAUCUUGCGCAAUGGGCGAAAGCCUGACGGAGCAACGCCGAGUGAGUGAUGAAGGGCUUCGGAUCGUAAAACUCUGUUAUUAGGGAAGAACAAAUGUGUAAGUAACUAUGCACGUCUUGACGGUACCUAAGCAGAAGGCCAGGGCUAACUUCGUG
Molecule: ribosomal RNA, 497 nt
Filed under: uncultured bacterium
Lineage: Bacteria
Description: partial 16S ribosomal RNA
Rfam family: Bacterial small subunit ribosomal RNA
Source: RNAcentral